CCGCUAUGAGAUGGACCCGCGUCGCAUUAGCUAGUUGGUGAGGUAACGGCUCACCAAGGCGACGAUGCGUAGCCGACCUGAGAGGGUGAUCGGCCACAUUGGGACUGAGAUACGGCCCAGACUCCUACGGGAGGCAGCAGUGGGGAAUAUUGGGCAAUGGACGCAAGUCUGACCCAGCAACGCCGCGUGAAGGAAGAAGGCUUUCGGAUUGUAAACUUCUGUUCUUAGUGACGAUAAUGACGGUAGCUAAGGAGAAAGCUCCGGCUAACUAC
This 272-nucleotide ribosomal RNA is filed under the name uncultured bacterium. Its description in RNAcentral is "partial 16S ribosomal RNA". It matches the Rfam family "Bacterial small subunit ribosomal RNA", at positions 215 to 504 of the family's 1533-position model. The record is from RNAcentral.